AAUAGAUACCCCGGUAGUCCACGCCGUAAACGAUGAGUGCUAAGUGUUAGAGGGUUUCCGCCCUUUAGUGCUGCAGCAAACGCAUUAAGCACUCCGCCUGGGGAGUACGACCGCAAGGUUGAAACUCAAAGGAAUUGACGGGGGGCCCGCACAAGCGGUGGAGCAUGUGGUUUAAUUCGAAGCAACGCGAAGAACCUUACCAGGUCUUGACAUCCUCUGACAAUCCUAGAGAUAGGACUUUCCCCUUCGGGGGACAGAGUGACAGGUGGUGCAUGGUUGUCGUCAGCUCGUGUCGUGAGAUGUUGGGUUAAGUCCCGCAACGAGCGCAACCCUUGAUCUUAGUUGCCAGCAUUCAGUUGGGGCACUCUAAGGUGACUGCCGGUGACAAACCGGAGGAAGGUGGGGAUGACGUCAAAUCAUCAUGCCCCCUUAUGACCUGGGCUACACACGUGCUACAAUGGAUGGUACAAAGGGCUGCAAGACCGCGAGGUUUAGCCAAUCCCAUAAAACCCAUUCUCAGUUCGGAUUGUAGGCUG
Molecule: ribosomal RNA, 536 nt
Filed under: uncultured bacterium
Lineage: Bacteria
Description: bacterial SSU rRNA
Rfam family: Bacterial small subunit ribosomal RNA
Source: RNAcentral